This is a non-coding RNA of Halorientalis sp. IM1011, 73 nucleotides long. Lineage: Archaea; Methanobacteriati; Methanobacteriota; Halobacteria; Halobacteriales; Haloarculaceae. The record is from Rfam.
GGGUCGCUAGUGUAGCGGCCGAAUAUCUGGCGUUUGGGACGCCAGGCCAGUGGUUCGAAUCCACUGUGACCCA